GCCCGGGUAGCUCAGUUGGUAGAGCACGUGACUGAAAAUCACGGUGUCGGCGGUUCGACUCCGUCCCCGGGCACCA
This 76-nucleotide transfer RNA is filed under the name Novosphingobium aromaticivorans. Its description in RNAcentral is "tRNA-Phe". It matches the Rfam family "tRNA". Rfam says of the family: Transfer RNA (tRNA) molecules are approximately 80 nucleotides in length. Their secondary structure includes four short double-helical elements and three loops (D, anti-codon, and T loops). RNAcentral also lists the same sequence under 19 other names. Lineage: Bacteria; Pseudomonadati; Pseudomonadota; Alphaproteobacteria; Sphingomonadales; Sphingomonadaceae. The record is from RNAcentral.